GAAUCUUACACAAUUUGCUACUAAGAUGGGUGUUUCUUUUGAACUUGAAGUAGUAAAUUUUGACUCGUUUGACCCAAAUUCUUAUUCAGUGUCAUUGGAAAAUGAAGCAGUUGCUGUGAAUUUUCCUCUCUGGUCUGCAUCAAAUCACCUGCCGGCCCUUCCCUCUCUUUUGUCCUUUAUAAAACGGCUCUCCCCAAAAAUCAUGGUAUCAAUGGACCGUGGAUGUGAACGAAUUGAUCUCCCCUACCCACAACACCUCCUCCAUACCUUACAAUACUAUGAGAUUCUGUUUGACUCGCUGGAUGCUGCUAAUGUAACUUCCGACACAGUCAGCAAAAUAGAAAGGUUUCUUUUUCAGCCAAAAAUUAGAAGCAUGGUUUCAGGACGUCUCCAUUUUCCAGAACAGAUGCUCCCUUGGAAAUCAGUUUUUGCCUCUAUGGGUUUCUCACCAGUGGCAUUUAGUAACUUUGCUGAAACCCAGGCUGAGUGUUUGGCAAAGAGAACCCAGGUUAGGGGAUUUCAUGUGGAGAAGCACCAGACAUCACUCGUGUUAUGCUGGAAAAACCGUGAGCUCAUGUCAUUGUCAGCUUGGAGGUGCUAGAGCUGUGGAUUGCAAGUCUCUUGGCUCUUGUGCACAGAGCAAAGGUUUUAACUGACUUCACUCCUUAGGUACCAGCAAUACAUAUAUUUUAAACCCUGAUUAUGGUAUCUCCUUACGACUAUGUUUGUAUAUUUACGUUCGUCCAAGUCUAUUAUGCUUGUUAUGAAAUUAUCCAUGUAGUCUUGACAUAGGCAAACUAUAUUGUCUUGGUGCAAAAAAUUUAAACUGCAAUUCAGUAGUCAGUAUUUCAUUUGGACCACUGGUGCUUUGUAUGGUGAUAAUUUUAUGCUCAUAGGUUGCAAUUGAAUGAUUAUAGGCUAUAGCAUUUAGAAAACUGACAAGAUGGUGAGAACUGAAAACUGACUUCGGUGUUUUGUAUGGUUCAGGCAAAAAAAGUUAUAUGUGGUACUUGCCUUGUAAUAAUGUUAAAUAGUCUUGUACUCUUGUAUAUUCUUUAGAUUGAACUGAAGUGUCUACUGCCAUCAAUUUUGGGCUAUCGAGGGGCUUAGAGGAACGACUAAAACUGAAUCCGAUCUUUUCUUAAUCAAGUAAAAAUGAGAACCUUAGAUCUGGGCAUCAAAAUUGCAUGAAAAUCUUAAAGCACGACAUUACUAAAUAGCACAACCCUUGCACUUCAUUUUUGUCUGUAUUUGAUGCAGAACAUCCGCUUUUGAUACAUGCCUACUUUGUUUAGGAUUGUUCUUAUUCAAUCACGAUUCACGGUGUUCAACCCUCUCUGUAGCCUAGGUUAAUAGUCUUCGAUAUAAAAACAGAGUUCGAUUCCUUUAUUUAGGUUUUACCCAGUACGUCCACCCUAUCCUUCCAAGAUUUUCUCUCUUCAUUUUGAGUAUGGGCCAAAGCCAGGUCCCUGGGUCAUUUAAUCUUGCCCUCGCUGCACCCUAGAUAAACCGAAUAUGUUUUGUUUAUGUACUUCCAGUCUUCCGCUAUGGAAUUAGUUCCUAGAUAUACCAAAUAUAUUUUGUUUAUGUACUUGAAAUAUGGAUGGAGCGCACUUGGAUUACUACUGACAUCAAGAUUUAGAGUUUACACUUCUAUGCAAGUCUGAUGAUUAGAGACAGCAUUAUUUUGUUAUGCUCAACUAAAAAAGCUAGGUUGAUAACCUCCUCACAUGCUUCAUUUUAUUACUUUAAUCAUGUUUAUUGCAAAUUGCUAUUACUUUAGUGGUAAGCAUUGUUUAUAUGUUCAACCAAGGUUAGUUCCUUAGUUUACAUAUGAGAUACAUCGAUACAUUGAAUUUGUAAUACCGUCUUAUAUGAGUUUCUUAUACAUCUACUAAUCAGACCACAUGGGUGUGUAUAUAACUAUGUAUCAAACAAGUUUAGUAAUAUAAAGAUAAGUCAUAUUCAAUUGGUCUUUCUCCAGUUUAUAUAGCUGUUCUUUUAUUGACGUAAAAAGUGUAGCUUCUUUGCCAACAACUUUGAUAAUGUUUGAUGAUUAUUAGCCGGUUGCAUCUUAUUUUAAUUUUAGAUUAGGUUGCUCUCUCUGUAUUAUUUGGUGGCUAACACACGUCUAUAUAUCUAUGGCGGUAACAAGUCAGAAGUAUUAAGGUCAGCUCCUGCUCUGUCUUUUUGUAUUCAUUAGCUCCUACUCAGUUUUAUCGUACUGAAUGCUAGUUAAAUAUGUGUAGGAUAUCAGAUAACUUGUUUGCAAACUAAUGGAAUAGAAUCUGCCUAUCGUGUUUGAGUGAAAAAGUUAGAUUGAUUAGGUUCUUUAUAAUCUAGAAGUGUUAUAUACAUGAUAUAUUGAAUAUAGGGGCAGUUUGGGUGAGCUUAAAAUAAGUGCUUAUUGUUUAAAGUAAAAAAGUGAAGGAGAAGUUAGAAGCAAGUUAAGACUUGAUAAAAGUGUUUGGGAAAUGAGUAGAAGCACAAAAACUAGUAAUCGUAACUUUUUUUAAGUACUUCUUAUCCAAACGGUACACUUUUUAACACUGACGAAAACCAAUUUCCACCAAUUUCCAGUUUAUGUAUAAUAUAUAUACAUAAGGAUUGCAAAAGUUAAUUAGAGUUUAUUUUUACGUUGAUUUGAAACACCAACCUCCCUCCAUUAUUCUGAAUUAGAAAUUACACGAGAUGACGAUGAUAUAUAUGGUGUAUCUGAUUUACAUAUUUAUAUAAGCGAGUCAGACGAUCAAAAGCUAGUUGUUUAUAAACUCCUUUUUUGUAAUUCAAGUGGACUUGAUGAAAGAAUUGUCGUACGAUAAAAUAUCACUAAAAUUGUCAAAUGCUUGCGAUAACAAAAUCGAGAAAAUUGAUGUAUCCUCUGCCAAAUAAUUUAUUUAGUUUUUAUUCUUACGAAAAAAAAUUUAUUAUUAUUUAAACUGCUCGAUAGCCAUGAUUUUAAAUAUUUAACAGGAAAGAACAAUAAAACUUGGCUCAAUACCAAACUUAAUAUACUCACUAUAUCCAGUUAGAGCAGGGUGUAUUGCCAUAAAAUCUCCCGGGUAUUUAUUUUUUGAUACAGGUUGUAUUGAGUUGGGCCGAAUAAGAUACUUAUCCAGCAAAAACUUCUUAACAACCCACUAGGCCCACUAAAUAUGUAGCUAGCCGUUAAUCAUAUACUACAACAAUGGUGUCUUCUUAACAAAAACACGAAGCCGUUUAUACUAAGCGGUUUGUACUAAUAGUCUAUAGUAUCAGUGUUUUCAACAACAGUGACUGUUUCAAUCUUGUGAUAUAUGACAUACUGACAAACAAACUAGGUUACCUUUUCUUCUGAUUUGAUUCAAUGUGAUUGUGAUAUGUGGUGGUUUCAAUGAUUAAAUGCAAUAAAAAAAUUUAAGUUAAGAUGAUUUCUCAAAAUGUCACAUGUUCCUUGUAUCGUAAUACAAUUUCUUGCUUAUGCCAAAAAUUAUCACCGUCAAGGUCCUAAUAUGACAAAGACACUGAAAAAUUGUUAAUGUCCUAGUAUUUAUGUUCCCAUACUGUAUAAUACUGUAAUAUAUUUUAUAUUAUGUUUAUAAUCCUUUGGUGAAUAUGCUGUAACAUAUCUAUUUAUCAUAUUCGUCUUUCAUAUAAUAUUUAAUGAAUGAGCACAAAAGGAAUUUUGGGAAAGGGCCCAGAUAAAUUGGUACAAAAAUGAUAAUAUCUAUAUAAUUGAAAAUGGUCCCAAUUUUUUUUAUGACGGACCCGUAUUACUGCAAGAAAGAAAAAAAAAAGAACGAAAGGGUUAAGGUAAUUAGUAACAAAAAUGAUUAUAUUUGCAUGACUGGAAAUAAUGUUAAAUUUUCUACGUGUACUAUAAUUAGAAAAACAAAAACGAAACAUUCAAAUAGAAUUAGUACUGAUAUGAAAACUUUUGCGAAAUAUUUACACAUGUUUUUAAUGUCGACUGAGGAUAUUUUAAAACAAAAUAUCUAGGGGUGUAAAUUCGUCAACCAAAAACAUAACAAGUCUCAAGUCUUGUUAAUAAAUUUUUUCCUAUACAUAUUUAAUAUUACCUUGCAGUUGUUUGUAUGUAAGCCUAUAUUCUAAUUUUCAUUUAGUCUUGAAUUUAAAAUGCUCAUAAUAAAAUUUCGAUUCUAACUUGUGACGAUCAUGUGAUUGUUAGAACAGAACUGCUUAUGUACUCCACAGGGUUGUGAAACUUUUGAUAGCAACCUACAACAUCCAUUGUGGUCUUGGGUUUUGUAUGAUUGUAUCAGGCAGUAGGCACACAGGCAUGUCAAAUGUCCAAUACAGUACUAUGGUCAGCUUACUUGAUCAGUUUGUUUGAAUUUGAUAGUGUCCCCUGUUCAUUUUUACUACUCCCUCCGUCCCCCCUGAGUAGUAUAUAUUGGAGGACGGGGAUGCGGCACGGAUUUUAAUGCUCCUGUAAAGUGUAGUUGUGCAAUCUAUUUUUUAAAUAUUUUUUUUCUGAAUUAAAGUUUGGAUGUUAUAUUUUUAUACAGAAAAAGAAAAUCUCAAAAAUAAGUUACGGAACUAUAUUUAAUAAUAGCAUUGAAAUGCGUGUCGAGCAGUUAAAAAGAAACGUAUAUAAUUAAAUGGGACUGAGGGAGUAGGCUAUAGCAAGAAGUUGCUAUUCUUACCUGUUAGUACCCAUCCUUCAACCCAAUUUAUCAUUUAGCCCUUUAAACUACUCUCUCUUAUGUGUCACACAUAUUUCUAAUUUUCAUUUCAUGUUAAUAGGCUAAAUUACUAUUAAAUUAUUAAAUUGACCCACAACAUACAAUUGAAUCACUAUUUCAGUUGCCCUGGUAGCUUCACAAGCACCCGAUAUAAAGAUUGCGACUCACGACUUAAAAUGAUUUAAUGAAUAAAUUCGGAGUUUAAAAUAUUUAUUUUAAAUAAUUUUCACUUAUUAAUAAUUUAUGUCUUAUUAAAAUAUAAUAAUAACAAAAAUGAUUUAUUUUGGCAAAAAAUGAUUUGUGAAUAAUUUGUAAUCAACAAAAAAAUUAUCAAGAGAAAGUUUAAAUAUAUUAAGUCGUUAAAAAUAAUAUCUCAAACUGAUUCUUAGUUUUAAUUCGAUUUAUAGCUCAGUUUUGAGGCUGACUUUAAGUAAUGUUCUGACUUAUUACACGAGACCAUGAGUUUGAAACCUUUGAUGCAAAUCUCCGCCUCCAACCUUCAAUUAAGUGAAAAACCAAUCACCUUUACAGUUUACUCACAAAUCAUUUAAAUAGGCGUUACAAGGUUCGAUUUUUCAGAGAUUUGUUUAGAAUUAUAUGGUGGGUUGAAAGAAGUGACGAUGAAGAUGUAUGUGAGCUUAUGUUUGGGACUUGUGAGAAUGAUUUUUCUUGGUUCCUUAUAUGUUUUUUAUUCGAUUUUCAUCAGUUAUAAUUAUAUGCAAGUGUCUCUCUACCGUAGAAUAUAUGUUCACAACUUCACAUCGUGUUUAUGUAUUAGGAAUGACGGUGUAUGUUUAAUUUAAAACUUAUCAUCGUUAUAUAUCGGAUAAAUUUAGGUCAGGUGGUUUGAAUAAAACAAUCAUGUAUAUCAAAACUAAUGACAUCCCGCUAUAAUCAACGAUCAUACAAGAAUAUAAUAAUUAAUUUAAUAUCCCAGUCGCAAGAAUAUAAUAAUUUAAUUAAUCGAUCGUAAAUUUUUGCAGUUUAGCUGCCAAGUUACGAGUUGAGUUUUAGCUAGGCUAUGAUUUAGCCUAAUAACCCUUUUCCACUUCUGCAUUUUAAAUUUUUUAACCUUUUGACAGGUAAGGAAACACAAACAUGAGGGCGGUGUUUCUAGUAUGUAUUCGGGCAAAUUAAGUGAUUCUUGCUUAAAAUAAAAAAAUAAAAUAAAAAUUAAAAACAAGUUAAAACUUAUAAGUGAUUAAAGAGUUUGAGAAAUAAGUAGAAAUUCAGAAACAACAGCUAGCAUUCCUAGUUAGUCCUUCUUGACUUUUUACACAAACAGUACAAAUAAGUGCUUUUAACUCAUAAACCACUAAACCAGAAUUUGGGUUUAAAACCAGUAAACAAACGCUUUAAAGCGGUCUGCAAUCUUGAGGCACUGUUCUUUUAAUUUAUUAAUUAAUAAUGUAUAUUACCUUUUUUACUUGUACAUUUUUUUAAGGUACUUGUACAUAUUUAAUCAGCCUGCCGAUAAUUAUUUUCUUGUCUACUGUUGGGGAUCUUAUUUUAAUCUUAACUUUCUUUGGUGAAAUAAUGAGGUCUAUAGAAUACUCAUAUUCAUUGUUUGAAUAUUUUAACAUCAAACCGGGGAAGACUUAUGAGCAACUCAACCAACACACAUUUAAAUAAGGGGGCGUUUGACUUAACUUAAAAGUGUGGCUUAUUGCUUAAAAUAAAGAAGUGGAUUAUAAUUGAUAAAGUGAACUUGACUUAUAAGUUAUUAAAAAUGUUUGGAUAACUUUUUCUUAUAAGUCAAUUGAGUGUUUGGUAAUUUAAAUGUAUAAAUUUAAAAAAAAAAUCAAAUUAUUAAAAUAAAAAAGACUUUAUUAAUAAAUAAAAUUUAUUAUAUAUUAAAAUUUUUAAAACUUCAUAAUAAAUGCAAAUCACUGGAAAAGCUCAAAAAAAGCUAGCAUGUCUAGCUUCCAGCUUCUGGCUUAAAAAACCCAAAAUAAGCACUUCUGCUUAUUUUUGCCAAACACCACAUAAAAAGUAGAAGCUGCUUAAAGUGCUAAAAGAAACCCGGAAGCACUUAUAAGAAGUUUAGCCAAACACCCACUAAGUCUCUAAGUUAAUCUUGAUUCGUGUCUGGGUUUAGGCUGUGAAAUUUAAAAGUUGUUUUAAAGUUUAAAUUAAAACUUAUUUUUUGUAUAAUUAAUUACUAAGUUCAUUAAAUCUAGAGUUUAAUUAUAAAUUAUAAGUUAUAUUUUUAAAUUAUUUAUUUCUUUGUUAUUUUAUUUGAUAAAUAUAAUAUCAUCAUUCUUAUGUAAUCUAUAAAUUUUACAUUUAUUUUUAUUUUUUUACUAACUUAAAAGCUAAAUACAUUUAAAAAAUAUUACACACACACACACAUACAUACAUACAUACAUACAUCAAUUAAAAAUUUCCAAGUUGGUAUUUUUAAUUUUCGAAUUGUUUGUGUGUGUGUUAGCUUAUAAAUGGUACGAGUAAUUUAUAAUAUUUAUAAUUUUAUCAUUUUUAUUUUAAAUUUAAUUGGAAUACAAAUCGAUUAUACUGACCGAAUAUUUAAAUAUUUUUAUUUAAUUGAUAAUAAAAAAAUAUCAUAAAUUAUAUAUUAAGAAGAUUUAUAAGAUAAAAUUCGAUCUACCAAUAAAAUUAUUAAUAUAAUAGAAUAAUAUAAUAUAAAUAGAGAGCAUACGCCAGCAGUCCAGAUAAAAUGUUACGGUAUUUUGUAUUUACCCUAAAAAAAUAUAAUGAUAUUAUACAGUAGAUUUUUAUUUUUAUUUUUAGACAGAGAGAGAAGGAGAUUAUUUUGUGUGUGUCUGUAUGUGAGAGAGAAAAUGGCCAGCUUUGUUUCCCCUUUUUCAUGAUACACGCAUCCAUGGCACCACAACACAGAAGCCUACACAGAAACAGUACUAGAUCUACAAAGUAACCAAAGGGUAAAAAGGGCAAGUAAAGAAGAUAAGAUACAAUAAGCUGCAGCUGUUACCUUGGAAUACCAAGAAGAAGAAGAAAGGGGCCCUUCUGAAAUUAUUUCUGGAGGCUUCUUAUGUGGUGAAAGAGGAAAGACUUGAGUGAAGAGAUGAAGAUGGUGUUCUUGAAAGAUUCAUACUCUUGGCCUUGACUUUCUUACACUCAGCUUUUUGAAUCUGGAAGAUAUAGAAAAAACCCAUUUUGGUUACCAGGCAAGUUACUAGAUUUUGUAUAUGUAAAUAGAGUUUCUUGAUGUUAUGUUUCUGGGUUUGUUUACAAGGCAAGUUAGUAGAUUCUGUAUAUGUUAAAAAUAACUUGUGUUUUCUUGAUUAUUUGUUGUAAAAAAAAUUAAAAAUAUUGAAAGUUGUUUUUGGUUUAUUGAUGUUUUCAGAUGAGAGGAAUAGGGUACAACUUACAAGCAAUAGUAGAUAAUAAAGGUUCAAGCUUUGAAGCAAAGUGCAAGAAAGAAGCUAUUUUGGGUGGCAUUCAUGAAUCCCUCUUUCCUUUGGAUACUAAGAGGAGUCCUAGCCCUUCUACCUCCACCUCCGCUCUCUCCUCUUCUUUCGGAGGCGGCGGAGGCAAUGCAAGCUCUGGGGGCGGUGGUCAUAACAACUCAGCUAACUUGGUAUUGAUUUCUGAGGAUACCAUGAACCCCAAAUGGCAAGUUUCUGAACCAGAAAAUGAACGAGAAAGUGGUGGUAGGAAAGAUGAGUGGGCGGUGGAGCUGCAGCCCAUUUCUGGAGCUGGAAGUCCUCAAAGAUUUGGUCUUGGAAAUGGAAUGGAAGAUUGGGAAAGCUUGUUUUCGGAUACGGCAUCACAUGACCAGCUCAGAUGGAUUUCUGGUGAUGUUGAUGAGACUCCCUUGAGCUUGAAACAGCUUUUGCAAGGCGGAAACAAUCACGAAAUUGAAGACGCCUCUGCGAUACAGCCUUGGGGUAAUGCAGCUACUAAUUUCAAUUCUAAUAUGGGUGUUUCCAAUUCUGGUUUUACUUCAGCUUUAGCUCCAAAUUCUAGGGUUUUAAACUACAACCCUAACCCACAAGCCCCCAAUUCUCCUUUGCCUGUGAAUCAUCAGUUUAUGAACCAGAAUAUGGGCAAUCUCGACAUGUCCUCUGUAUUAUUACAAGCUAAUAGUAAUAAUGGCCAAAAAGACCAUAAUCACUACGAGCCUCAACCAAAAAGGCACAAUCUUGGCAUACCAAACUGCACUACUGGUGUCGCUAAAUCCCCAUUUGACGGGUUUCUACCAUCAAUAAAACAGCAUCAAAUGGGUUUUGCUAACCAGUGCAAUCUACUACCUCCUCAUCAGCUUCUGCAGAAACCAUUUAUUACUCCAAAGCAGGAGUUAACAGGUGGAAUUCGUGAGAAAAUAUCACCUGCAAGCCACCUCCAUCAGCACCAGCAGCAGCAACAGGUAAUAUAUGACCAGCUUUAUAAGACAACAGAGUUGAUGUUGUCUGGGAAUUUCUCACACGCGCAAGCGAUAUUGGCGCGGCUCAAUCACCAGCUUUCUCUCAAUAUAAAGCCUUUCCAGAGGGCUGCUUUUUAUUUCAAGGAGGCUUUGCAAACGUCCCUCCUCGAAAUAUCUGAUCCAGUAUCCCCGAUUUCAUCAAGAAUUCCUACACCAGUCGAUGGUAUGUUUAAGAUAGGUGCCUAUAAAGUGCUUUCGGAAGUUUCACCAUUAGUACAAUUCAUGAAUUUCACUUCGAACCAGGCUCUUCUUGAAGCACUUGGCAAUGCAGAUAGCAUUCAUAUCAUAGACUUUGAUAUUGGGUUUGGUGCACAAUGGUCUUCUUUCUUGCAGGAGCUUCCGAGGACGGACAGAAGUCCUCCCUCAUUAAAAAUUACUGCUUUUGCCUCCCCUGCAACCCACCAUGCCAUUGAGCUGGGUCUUAUGCAUGAAAAUCUUACACAAUUUGCUACUAAGAUGGGUGUUUCUUUUGAACUUGAAGUAGUUAAUUUUGACUCGUUUGACCCAAAUUCUUAUGCAACGUCGUUAGAAAAUGAAGCAGUUGCUGUGAAUUUUCCUCUCUGGUCUGCAUCGAAUCACCUGCCUGCCCUUCCCUCUCUUUUGUCAUUUAUAAAGCGGCUCUCCCCUAAAAUCAUGAUAUCGAUGGACCGUGGAUGUGAACGAAUCGAUCUCCCCUAUCCACAACACCUCCUUCAUGCACUCCAAUACUAUGAGAUUUUAUUCGAUUC
RNAcentral lists this long non-coding RNA (9821 nucleotides) under Daucus carota (carrot). RNAcentral describes it as "long non-coding RNA (DCAR_LNC001393)". The record is from RNAcentral. Lineage: Eukaryota; Viridiplantae; Streptophyta; Magnoliopsida; Apiales; Apiaceae.